UACGGGGGGGGCAAGCGUUGUUCGGAAUUACUGGGCGUAAAGGGCUCGUAGGCGGCCAACUAAGUCAGACGUGAAAUCCCUCGGCUUAACCGGGGAACUGCGUCUGAUACUGGAUGGCUUGAGUUUGGGAGAGGGAUGCAGAAUUCCAGGUGUAGCGGUGAAAUGCGUAGAUAUCUGGAGGAACACCGGUGGCGAAGGCGGCAUCCUGGACCAACACUGACGCUGAGGAGCGAAAGCCAGGGGAGCAAACGGG
Molecule: ribosomal RNA, 253 nt
Filed under: uncultured bacterium
Lineage: Bacteria
Description: partial 16S ribosomal RNA
Rfam family: Bacterial small subunit ribosomal RNA
Source: RNAcentral